AUAAAACAUGACUCCCACACUAAACAUUAACCUCUGCCCUACACCACUACAUUAAAGAUAAACCAUACACUACAUAUCACUACCAUAAAACAUUACUCUUACACUACACUAAACAUUAACUUCUACCCUACACCACUACAUUAAACAUAAACCCUACACUACGCAUCACUACCAUGAAACAUCAAUCCUACACUACACUAAACCUUAACCAACCACAUACUUAGGGCAGACUAGAUGGGCCGAAUGGUUCUUAUCUGCCGUCACAUUCUAUGAACAUCACUCCUUCACUAUACUUAACAUUAUCCUCUACACUACUCUAAUCAUUAACCCCAUACACUAUACUUUAAUCUCUACACUACUGACUCAUGUCUUACAUGGAAAGCACCCUCUAGGGCUGUCAGGAAGAUACGAAGACAGUUUAGGCCUGCAAUGAAAACAUUGGCAUAUCAACUAAAUGGCUAAAACUAGUUUGAGAUGAAG
Molecule: non-coding RNA, 480 nt
Organism: Pelobates cultripes (western spadefoot toad)
Lineage: Eukaryota; Metazoa; Chordata; Amphibia; Anura; Pelobatidae
Source: the annotation of a GenBank genome assembly